Small nuclear RNA from Pipistrellus kuhlii (Kuhl's pipistrelle), 104 nucleotides. NCBI's taxonomy places the organism in Eukaryota, Metazoa, Chordata, Mammalia, Chiroptera, Vespertilionidae. The record is from RefSeq and is a predicted model, not a curated record.
GAAACCAGAGCAUAACAUACACUAAAAUUGGAACAACAGAGAGAAGAUUAGCAUGGCUCCUGUGCAAGAAUGACAUGCAAAUUCAUGAAGCAUUCCAUAUUUUU